GGGAAUGAUUUGCUUUCACGUGGACCCUUCCAGAGUUAUCUCAGUGCUGGGGAUGGGCAAUGGGGGUGCCGGGGUCUCAGUGUACUGGUGAGGUGCUGGGAAGAGAAGGAAUUCACAAUGUUCUUUGACAGAUCAGAUACAAGUAGGAAGAGAAAGAGAAAGUUAGGAUGAAGCUGAAGUUUUGGUUCUGAGCAGUUUCAAGCUUCAAGCUGCCACUACCAGAGAAGGGAAAGACUGAAAGAGAAUUUUUUUUUUGUACCGGGAUCGAACUAAGAAAGAAAAUUUUUAAGAGAAUUGAAGCUCAGCUUGGGACAUGUUGGGUCAGAUAUAUUAGAUGCAUAAAAGGAGAGGAAGUGAGGUAUGUGGAUCUGGAGUUUAAGAGAAAGUUCUGGCUGGACAUAUGAGCCUACAGUCACCACCAGACAGAGGGUAUCUGAAGUCAGGAGCCUGAGAAAUAUCCCAAAGGGCAUAAGCUUAACCGAAAUGGGGUGCAAACCAGCUCCAGAGACUUUGGACCAGGUGUCAGAUUCACCUCCCACGAGACACAGGGUGUAACCUCAGCAACUUAGAUGUCUGUUUGGGCCACAGGGUUGCCCAUUUGGUCAAACAUUAUUCUGGGUCUUUAUGUGACAAUGUUUGGAUGACAUUAAACCUUAAAACCCUGGGAAGGCUAAUAAAGAGACAGAAGAUGUUUCAGUCCAAAUUCUAAAAAAGGGUGGAAAUUCAGAGAAGGCCCCAAACUCAAAAAUGCCGUGGGGAAGCCGGCCAUGGUGGCACACACCUGUGAUCCCAGCACUUGGGAGGCUGAGAUCUCUAAUGGCCCCAUUCGGAUUUUCCUUUGGUGAACUGGCCUACCAUUGCAUCACUCUUGGCCCACCUCUUGCUCUGGGGGAAUCUGUAAGCCAACACUGACCAAUCAACAUAAAUAAUAAAAUAAUAUGAACCCUGAGCCUGUGGCUGAGAAGAAGAAUGUGGUGGGUAAUGAUCUAGGUCAGUGGGAGUGGCGGGCAGGGGCGUUGGUUUUCUCUUCUCUGGGAACCCC
RNAcentral lists this long non-coding RNA (1042 nucleotides) under Heterocephalus glaber (naked mole-rat). RNAcentral describes it as "lncRNA (ENSHGLG00000036879.1)". The record is from RNAcentral. Lineage: Eukaryota; Metazoa; Chordata; Mammalia; Rodentia; Bathyergidae.